This 231-nucleotide unclassified non-coding RNA is filed under the name Hevea brasiliensis (rubber tree). Lineage: Eukaryota; Viridiplantae; Streptophyta; Magnoliopsida; Malpighiales; Euphorbiaceae. The record is from RNAcentral.
GGUUUUCAUAAUCCUUCUGUAAAAGCCAUAAUCUUGGCGAUAUGCAUGUUUUCACAAAACAUGGUACACAAUUUAUUAAUGGAAAAUUUAUAAUUUGGUCUUUGGGUUUUGCCUUAUAUUACACUUUAGUCCUGAAAUCUAGGAAAUUAAUUAUUUAGUCCCUGGAUUUUGCACUACAUUACACUUUAGUCUCAGAAUUUUGAUGACUGAAUUAUUUAGUCCAUUUAAUUU